AUUUCAUUGACUCAUUCAAUUUUCAUUCACCAUCCGUAAUUUCAUCAUAACCUUUGCAGACCUUAAAUCGUACGAUUUGCUCGCUACCAAUAAAAAAACAAAGAGUGCGCGGUCGAGAAAAACACCAACCAACCACAUGAGAUUACGUGAAAAGAUCGACCCAACUAGUAAGACGAAAAGAAAGAAAUCCAAAAUACAAUUGAAGAACUCAUGAACGACAGCACUAUGAAGAACCCAGACGGAAGCGAAAAGAUGUUACCAACGGAAAUGAAAAACUCUCAGGAUAUCAUCAUUUGUAUGGAAGAGGCCCGUUGCGAAGAGAUGCCAUUUGAAUGCCAGAACCUCAGUUGUCGCAAAGUCUCGUGUUAUGUUCAUUGCGGUCAUCAUGUUCGGCAUCGCUCUGUGUGUAUUUGUUCUUAUCCCACUGUUUAAGUGGCGAUCGUGAUUUGCAAAAUGCGUGGGAGUUGCUAUGAAGGAUUCAUUAUCACGUAGAUUUCAUAGAAGUUUGACUUUUGACGGAAUAAUGCCUUCAAUUAGAUAAUUGCGGUUAGUAAAUGUAAUUUGUUAC
Anopheles coustani is the source of this 568-nucleotide long non-coding RNA. RefSeq lists it as uncharacterized. The record is from RefSeq and is a predicted model, not a curated record. The transcript has 5 exons. Lineage: Eukaryota; Metazoa; Arthropoda; Insecta; Diptera; Culicidae.